Molecule: ribosomal RNA, 658 nt
Filed under: uncultured Nitrobacter sp.
Lineage: Bacteria; Pseudomonadati; Pseudomonadota; Alphaproteobacteria; Hyphomicrobiales; Nitrobacteraceae
Description: bacterial SSU rRNA
Rfam family: Bacterial small subunit ribosomal RNA
Source: RNAcentral
GAGCGGGCGUAGCAAUACGUCAGCGGCAGACGGGUGAGUAACGCGUGGGAACGUACCUUUUGGUUCGGAACAACCCAGGGAAACUUGGGCUAAUACCGGAUAAGCCCUUACGGGGAAAGAUUUAUCGCCGAAAGAUCGGCCCGCGUCUGAUUAGCUAGUUGGUGAGGUAAUGGCUCACCAAGGCGACGAUCAGUAGCUGGUCUGAGAGGAUGAUCAACCACAUUGGGACUGAGACACGGCCCAAACUCCUACGGGAGGCAGCAGUGGGGAAUAUUGGACAAUGGGCGCAAGCCUGAUCCAGCCAUGCCGCGUGAGUGAUGAAGGCCCUAGGGUUGUAAAGCUCUUUUGUGCGGGAAGAUAAUGACGGUACCGCAAGAAUAAGCCCCGGCUAACUUCGUGCCAGCAGCCGCGGUAAUACGAAGGGGGCUAGCGUUGCUCGGAAUCACUGGGCGUAAAGGGUGCGUAGGCGGGUCUUUAAGUCAGGGGUGAAAUCCUGGAGCUCAACUCCAGAACUGCCUUUGAUACUGAAGAUCUUGAGUCCGGGAGAGGUGAGUGGAACUGCGAGUGUAGAGGUGAAAUUCGUAGAUAUUCGCAAGAACACCAGUGGCGAAGGCGGCUCACUGGCCCGGUACUGACGCUGAGGCACGAAAGCGUGGGG